CUUCCAUUAAUCUAUUUAGAUUCUUUGUAAUUUCAAUACUCAAAUAUGUGAAAUUAUGUUUUUAUUUGUUUUUUUAGUUCUUGAUCUAUAGGGAAAGAAUAAUCAAUUUUUCUACAUUUAUUUUGUAUUUUGAAACUUUACUGUAUGCUUGAAUAUCUUUCAUAAAAUAUGGUAGACUGCCUUGGAUUAGUCAUUGUCAAGAGGACAUCAUCAGCA
Molecule: non-coding RNA, 216 nt
Organism: Pelobates cultripes (western spadefoot toad)
Lineage: Eukaryota; Metazoa; Chordata; Amphibia; Anura; Pelobatidae
Source: the annotation of a GenBank genome assembly